RNAcentral lists this ribosomal RNA (253 nucleotides) under uncultured bacterium. RNAcentral's name for it is "partial 16S ribosomal RNA". It matches the Rfam family "Bacterial small subunit ribosomal RNA", at positions 524 to 776 of the family's 1533-position model. The record is from RNAcentral.
UACGAAGGGGGCUAGCGUUGCUCGGAAUCACUGGGCGUAAAGCGCACGUAGGCGGAUUGCUAAGUCAGGGGUGAAAUCCUGGAGCUCAACUCCAGAACUGCCUUUGAUACUGGCAACCUUGAGUCCGAGAGAGGUGAGUGGAACUGCAAGUGUAGAGGUGAAAUUCGUAGAUAUUCGCAAGAACACCAGUGGCGAAGGCGGCUCACUGGCUCGAUACUGACGCUGAGGUGCGAAGGCGUGGGGAGCGAACGGG